UGCAUCGGCCGGGAACCGAACCCGGGCCGGCCGCGUGGCAGGCGAGCAUUCUACCACUGAACCACCGAUGC
RNAcentral lists this transfer RNA (71 nucleotides) under Cordylochernes scorpioides. RNAcentral's name for it is "tRNA-Gly". The record is from RNAcentral. Lineage: Eukaryota; Metazoa; Arthropoda; Arachnida; Pseudoscorpiones; Chernetidae.